Molecule: ribosomal RNA, 396 nt
Filed under: uncultured bacterium
Lineage: Bacteria
Description: bacterial SSU rRNA
Rfam family: Bacterial small subunit ribosomal RNA
Source: RNAcentral
ACCUGAAAGAUCAGGUGUUCCCUCCGGGGACAGAAUGACAGGUGGUGCAUGGUUGUCGUCAGCUCGUAUCGUGAGAUGUUGGGUUAAGUCCCGCAACGAGCGCAACCCUUAUUGCCAGUUGCCAGCAUUCAGUUGGACACUCUGACAAGACUGCCGGUGACAAACCGGAGGAAGGUGGGGAUGACGUCAAAUCAUCAUGCCCCUUAUGACCUGGGCUACACACGUGCUACAAUGGACGAUACAACGAGUUGCUAGACCGCGAGGUUAAGCUAAUCUCUUAAAGUCGUUCUCAGUUCGGAUUGCAGGCUGCAACUCGCCUGCAUGAAGUCGGAAUCGCUAGUAAUCACGGAUCAGCAUGCCGCGGUGAAUACGUUCCCGGGGUCUUGUACACACCGA